This 897-nucleotide small RNA is filed under the name Salmonella enterica subsp. enterica serovar Typhimurium str. LT2. RNAcentral describes it as "bacterial LSU rRNA". It matches the Rfam family "Bacterial large subunit ribosomal RNA", at positions 2036 to 2925 of the family's 2925-position model. The record is from RNAcentral. Lineage: Bacteria; Pseudomonadati; Pseudomonadota; Gammaproteobacteria; Enterobacterales; Enterobacteriaceae.
GUGAAAUUGAACUCGCUGUGAAGAUGCAGUGUACCCGCGGCAAGACGGAAAGACCCCGUGAACCUUUACUAUAGCUUGACACUGAACAUUGAGCCUUGAUGUGUAGGAUAGGUGGGAGGCUUUGAAGUGUGGACGCCAGUCUGCAUGGAGCCGACCUUGAAAUACCACCCUUUAAUGUUUGAUGUUCUAACGUGGACCCGUAAUCCGGGUUGCGGACAGUGUCUGGUGGGUAGUUUGACUGGGGCGGUCUCCUCCUAAAGAGUAACGGAGGAGCACGAAGGUUGGCUAAUCCUGGUCGGACAUCAGGAGGUUAGUGCAAUGGCAUAAGCCAGCUUGACUGCGAGCGUGACGGCGCGAGCAGGUGCGAAAGCAGGUCAUAGUGAUCCGGUGGUUCUGAAUGGAAGGGCCAUCGCUCAACGGAUAAAAGGUACUCCGGGGAUAACAGGCUGAUACCGCCCAAGAGUUCAUAUCGACGGCGGUGUUUGGCACCUCGAUGUCGGCUCAUCACAUCCUGGGGCUGAAGUAGGUCCCAAGGGUAUGGCUGUUCGCCAUUUAAAGUGGUACGCGAGCUGGGUUUAGAACGUCGUGAGACAGUUCGGUCCCUAUCUGCCGUGGGCGCUGGAGAACUGAGGGGGGCUGCUCCUAGUACGAGAGGACCGGAGUGGACGCAUCACUGGUGUUCGGGUUGUCAUGCCAAUGGCACUGCCCGGUAGCUAAAUGCGGAAGAGAUAAGUGCUGAAAGCAUCUAAGCACGAAACUUGCCCCGAGAUGAGUUCUCCCUGAGACUUAGAGUCUCCUGAAGGAACGUUGAAGACGACGACGUUGAUAGGCCGGGUGUGUAAGCGCAGCGAUGCGUUGAGCUAACCGGUACUAAUGAACCGUGAGGCUUAACCUUAC